CCUACGGGGGGCAGCAGUGGGGAAUAUUGGACAAUGGGGGCAACCCUGAUCCAGCCAUGCCGCGUGUGUGAAGAAGGCCCUCGGGUUGUAAAGCACUUUCAGUGAGGAAGAACGCCUGGUGGUUAAUACCCAUCAGGAAAGACAUCACUCACAGAAGAAGCACCGGCUAACUCCGUGCCAGCAGCCGCGGUAAUACGGAGGGUGCGAGCGUUAAUCGGAAUUACUGGGCGUAAAGCGCGCGUAGGUGGCUUGAUAAGCCGGUUGUGAAAGCCCCGGGCUCAACCUGGGAACGGCAUCCGGAACUGUCAAGCUAGAGUGCAGGAGAGGAGGGUAGAAUUCCCGGUGUAGCGGUGAAAUGCGUAGAGAUCGGGAGGAAUACCAGUGGCGAAGGCGGCCUUCUGGACUGACACUGACACUGAGGUGCGAAAGCGUGGGUAGCAAACAGGAUUAGAUACCCCAGUAGUC
This 465-nucleotide ribosomal RNA is filed under the name Vreelandella stevensii. RNAcentral describes it as "partial 16S ribosomal RNA". It matches the Rfam family "Bacterial small subunit ribosomal RNA", at positions 338 to 795 of the family's 1533-position model. Lineage: Bacteria; Pseudomonadati; Pseudomonadota; Gammaproteobacteria; Oceanospirillales; Halomonadaceae. The record is from RNAcentral.